This 253-nucleotide ribosomal RNA is filed under the name uncultured bacterium. RNAcentral's name for it is "partial 16S ribosomal RNA". It matches the Rfam family "Bacterial small subunit ribosomal RNA", at positions 524 to 776 of the family's 1533-position model. The record is from RNAcentral.
UACAGAGGUCUCAAGCGUUGUUCGGAUUCAUUGGGCGUAAAGGGUGCGUAGGUGGCGCCGUAAGUCAGGCGUGAAAUUUCGGAGCUUAACUCCGAAACUGCAUUUGAUACUGCGGUGCUUGAGGACUGGAGAGGAGACUGGAAUUCACGGUGUAGCAGUGAAAUGCGUAGAUAUCGUGAGGAAGACCAGUGGCGACGGCGGGUCUCUGGACAGUUCCUGACACUGAGGCACGAAGGCCAGGGGAGCAAACGGG